GAUGAACGCUGGCGGCGUGCUUAACACAUGCAAGUCGAACGGAAAGGCCCUGCUUUUGUGGGGUGCUCGAGUGGCGAACGGGUGAGUAACACGUGAGUAACCUGCCCUUGACUUUGGGAUAACUUCAGGAAACUGGGGCUAAUACCGGAUAGGAGCUCCUGCUGCAUGGUGGGGGUUGGAAAGUUUCGGCGGUUGGGGAUGGACUCGCGGCUUAUCAGCGUGUUGGUGGGGUAGUGGCUUACCAAGGCUUUGACGGGUAGCCGGCCUGAGAGGGUGACCGGCCACAUUGGGACUGAGAUACGGCCCAGACUCCUACGGGAGGCAGCAGUGGGGAAUAUUGCACAAUGGGCGGAAGCCUGAUGCAGCAACGCCGCGUGCGGGAUGACGGCCUUCGGGUUGUAAACCGCUUUCGCCUGUGACGAAGCGUGAGUGACGGUAAUGGGUAAAGAAGCACCGGCUAACUACGUG
RNAcentral lists this ribosomal RNA (468 nucleotides) under uncultured bacterium. RNAcentral's name for it is "partial 16S ribosomal RNA". It matches the Rfam family "Bacterial small subunit ribosomal RNA", at positions 28 to 507 of the family's 1533-position model. The record is from RNAcentral.